GAUGAACGCUGGCUACAGGCUUAACACAUGCAAGUCGUGGGGAAACGGCAUUAUGUGCUUGCACAUUCUGGACGUCGACCGGCGCACGGGUGAGUAUCGCGUAUCCAACCUGCCCCUUACUUGGGGAUACCCCGUUGAAAGACGGCCUAAUACCCGAUGUGUUUCAUUGACGGCAUCCGAUAUGAAACAAAGGUUUUUCCGGUAAGGGAUGGGGAUGCGUCUGAUUAGCUAGUUGGCGGGGCAACGGCCCACCAAGGCGACGAUCAGUAGGGGUUCUGAGAGGAAGGUCCCCCACAUUGGAACUGAGACACGGUCCAAACUCCUACGGGAGGCAGCAGUGAGGAAUAUUGGUCAAUGGACGCAAGUCUGAACCAGCCAAGUAGCGUGCAGGAUGACGGCCCUAUGGGUUGUAAACUGCUUUUAUGUGGGAAUAAAGUGGCGCACGUGUGCGCCAUUGCAUGUACCUCAUGAAUAAGGACCGGCUAAUUCCGUGCCAGCAGCCGCGGUAAUACGGAAGGUCCGGGCGUUAUCCGGAUUUAUUGGGUUUAAAGGGAGUGUAGGCGGUCUGUUAAGCGUGUUGUGAAAUUUAGGUGCUCAACAUUUAACUUGCAGCGCGAACUGUCAGACUUGAGUACACGCAGCGCAGGCGGAAUUCAUGGUGUAGCGGUGAAAUGCUUAGAUAUCAUGAGGAACUCCGAUCGCGAAGGCAGCCUGCGGGAGUGUUACUGACGCUUAAGCUCGAAGGUGCGGGUAUCGAACAGG
This 762-nucleotide ribosomal RNA is filed under the name Prevotella nigrescens. Its description in RNAcentral is "bacterial SSU rRNA". It matches the Rfam family "Bacterial small subunit ribosomal RNA", at positions 28 to 776 of the family's 1533-position model. The record is from RNAcentral. Lineage: Bacteria; Pseudomonadati; Bacteroidota; Bacteroidia; Bacteroidales; Prevotellaceae.